GCCCCUUUCGGGGGGUACACGAGUGGCGAACGGGUGAGUAACACGUGGGUGAUCUGCCUUGCACUCUGGGAUAAGCCUGGGAAACCGGGUCUAAUACCGGAUAGGACCACAUGUCGCAUGGCGUGUGGUGGAAAGCCUUGUGCGGUGUGAGAUGGGCCCGCGGCCUAUCAGCUUGUUGGUGGGGUAAUGGCCUACCAAGGCGACGACGGGUAGCCGGCCUGAGAGGGCGACCGGCCACACUGGGACUGAGACACGGCCCAGACUCCUACGGGAGGCAGCAGUGGGGAAUAUUGCACAAUGGGCGCAAGCCUGAUGCAGCGACGCCGCGUGAGGGAUGACGGCCUUCGGGUUGUAAACCUCUUUCAGUGCCGACGAAGCGCAAGUGACGGUAGGUACAGAAGAAGCACCGGCCAACUACGUGCCAGCAGCCGCGGUAAUACGUAGGGUGCGAGCGUUGUCCGGAAUUACUGGGCGUAAAGAGCUCGUAGGCGGUUUGUCGCGUCGUCUGUGAAAACCUGCAGCUUAACUGUGGGCGUGCAGGCGAUACGGGCAGACUUGAGUACUGCAGGGGAGACUGGAAUUCCUGGUGUAGCGGUGAAAUGCGCAGAUAUCAGGAGGAACACCGGUGGCGAAGGCGGGUCUCUGGGCAGUAACUGACGCUGAGGAGCGAAAGCGUGGGGAGCGAACAGGAUUAGAUACCCUGGUAGUCCACGCCGUAAACGGUGGGUACUAGGUGUGGGGCCCUUCCACGGGCUCUGUGCCGUAGCU
Molecule: ribosomal RNA, 768 nt
Filed under: uncultured bacterium
Lineage: Bacteria
Description: SSU rRNA
Rfam family: Bacterial small subunit ribosomal RNA
Source: RNAcentral